CACUUUGACAUUGAUCUUGAAGCUGGCCUUCCAACCCCAUGGAACCCCACCCCUUCCCACAUCAGCAGAGUAGUCAGAAGGUGAACUCCAUGAGGACAGGAAAACAGUCUCUCCUCUGCCCUUAGUAUCCAGGACACUGCCUGCACAAGGUAGAAAAGUUGGGCUCACGAGGGGAGCAGGUGGCCUGGAAUUUGCAGGGAACCAGGGUGAAUAAGCACAGUGGAGAAGAGGCACAGAAUAUUCUACACCAGAUGUAUAUUACAGCCUAAGAGAACAUCAUAGGCCAAAAGGCCAGUGUUUGGCAAGAGAUACAGCCAACAGAGGGAUCUGUGGGAUGAAUGAAAAAACACAGUGAAGACGUGGAAGGAGGAAACCAGGCAUCCGCAGAGAUG
Long non-coding RNA from Lutra lutra (Eurasian river otter), 392 nucleotides. RefSeq lists it as uncharacterized. The transcript has 3 exons. Lineage: Eukaryota; Metazoa; Chordata; Mammalia; Carnivora; Mustelidae. The record is from RefSeq and is a predicted model, not a curated record.